UCUAAAUAUUUAAACAUGUACAAGUAGAAGUAGACCAAAGUCUCGGGACCUCCUUUAUUUUUCAACAAUUUAGGUGCCAUUUUUGUUAGAAAUAUAUGAAUAUAUUUCUAUUAGAAAUGCAAGAGCAAUUAUUUAUGAAAUUAGAUUAAACUGGACACGACGCAAGAUAAUGCUACCACUUAUCUCAACGCCAUAACCAGAAGUUUUGUUCCAUAUUAUUAAGAGUCACAGUUCUCAUGCAAUAUGGGGAGAAAGAAAGAUCUUUCUGAAGAUGAAAAGCAUGAACAUGUCUUGCAAAAGGUAUGAAAACAACCAAUAACUCGGUACACUCAACUGUUUGAAAUCGGCAAACUUCCACCAUAUCGGCUCGAUUCACUGUUUCAAUAACGUCGGUGUGUAGCAUGACAGAUUGUCCUUCUAUCACUGAUACUCACGUAAUUUUAUCUUUCUUCACAAACACAUCUGGAUGUUAAACUUGUGUAGUGCUAGUUAUGGUUUCAUCCAUAUAUUUUGUGGCAAUUUUGGGACAUUGCUUAAAAAAAACUGGAUGGAAAUGGCAAGAUGCGGAUAGAAGACAUAUGAGGCUGAUCAGUUUUUAAUCAAUAAGAAUACAAACGAAUUAACUACAAUUGAAAUACAUUUAACAAAUAAAUUCCUUGAUGUGCAACACAAAAAACUCACAUGCCUCAACAGAGGAUGUGAUUGGAUAGCGGCUUAUAACUGUUGUAGUUUGGACUUCAUAGGCCAAACUCAAGUCCUAAAAUUCUUUUGAUAAGUUUUUGCAUAUCAAAUUUCAUUCCAUGUGAACCGACUGCCUAGGAGGAGAUAAAGAAAUAGGUCUUUGAUUAAAAAUUCAAAUGGUCGAAAAAUGUCACAGACAGAGGAAGCGAUUCUUGUGAUUCUAAACAUUACUCCUAUUCAGAAUGCAUGAGAAAACAGUCCAACAAUCCUGCAGUCUCUGCCUAUAUGGGACUCUCAAAACUCCAGAAAAGCCGUCUUACCGUCGGUAAAUGUUGUAACCCAUAUGUGAGGGUUUUACUCAACAAAAUCAAGCAGCUGCUUCUUAUCAUUCGAAAUUCAUGCCCGGGCAGAUCCAAGUAGACUGCCCGUAUGUAACUUCUUCUUUCCAUUAUGUUAUGUGCACAUCGUGGACACACUUAGACAAAACAAGAAGUAGACCUUGGACACACUGAUACACAUGAAAUCAAGACGUGCAUAUAUACAUUUACUCACGCACAUCUCAUACUUGUUACUAUAUUUCUUAAGGUGAGACAGGGGACAGGGUAAAAAAAAUAACUAACAGUUAUAAAAUAACACCAUACUUCCCCAGUGGAUUGAUUACAAUAAGAACUGCAAAAAUUUUUGCAUUACAAGUUUUCUCAAAUGUUAUGUUUAAAUAUGCAAAUGAUGCAUUAUUUACUUAAAAAUGCACAUUUCUAGUAAAAAAAUCUCAACAUUGGAUGAAGUCAGGUGCAUAUGCAUUUUGAACAUAUUAGGGUCACAGGUUUUUACAGAGGGGAUUUUGAGUAUCGCUUUUUAUCACUUUUUAUCACUCCAUAAUUCAGAAAAUCACAGUUUUUCUUUGAAAUAAAAUGUUGUAUAUAAUCUGGCAAAUUAAAUAUGAACAAAUCCUUCUGUGAAAACCUUCAGAAUAUAGAUAGGAAUAAAACUGUAAAGUUUGUUGUGUGUAAGUGCUUCUGAUAUAUGGCUGUGUAUAGGAGAAAAAACUCAUUUUGAGAAAACAGCCUUUAAAAAUAUGUAUUUUAAGUGCCAAAAAAUAAAUGAAAACAAAGGUGGAUUUUGGAUGUUUUCUUACCACUGGUCUGAAACAACAACAACAACAACACUUUACUAAAAGCCCAAAAUCUCAAAAUUGAAAAAACAGCAUUUUAGCCUGUAUGCCUCGCCUUCAUAUGCCAAAUAUGGUGAGGUUUGACAUCUGAGUACUACGAUUGGAAGCCCAGGACAUCCUGGAUGUUAUUUCCUGAUCAUGCGUGUAUAAAUAUGACCCAUCUUCAUGAAUAAACUUGAGAAUGUUAUAGUAUUACACUGCCUCUGUGUCUGCCUGAUCAAUCUCCCGAGAUCUCGAGCUGCUGCUGCCACACAUCACAGGAGCAUUGAGGCUUUCAAUAGUCUACCUAAAAAUUAAUCUAACAGUAGCCAUUUCAGCCGAUCUGUGAACGUGAGUGAAUAUCAUCAGGCCAAACAUUCAAGGACAGAAAGAAUGGAACAUCUACACACCUUUCUCAUUUUGCUCUUCCUCUUCUGUUCACCGUGGCUAAGUGCUGGAACAACCUUCUUGACCCAUCUUGGAACACCAUGUAUAGAAGACUGCAAGCUAGACGGUGGUGAGUACAAGUGCAAGACUAUUGAUGGAGAUGGAAGGAGCCAAACUUUGUACUGUUCACCUCAGGAAAACAUGGACUACUGGGGUAGGCAGUGCGGAGCUGACAGUAUGUGUGGAGAGCAUGGAGAAGACUACUACUGGUGCAGAAUUAAUGUCUUUACUUGGGGAUACUGUGGGCUGGUGAAGGACGACAAGAAGAUCAUUGAAUCUGGAGAAGUCAGUCACAUCACCUCUCAACAUCGCAACAAGAGACAGACGGAGUUUUACUCUGUGCGUGACCAGAAUAACCGUAUAAUAACCUUUUUUGAGGAGCCAGCUAACAUCUUAAACGGCAGACAGUGGAGAAACGAUGCGGAAAACUUAAUCAAUCGAUGGAACAAUGGAUACCUGAGGAAUCGGGCAACAUCUAAUCUGAUCAGAUCUGACGAUCUACGUAUUGACUUGCAGGGCACCUUCCCACGCAACAAUCGGCUCUACUACAACCUGCAGAUCCAGAGAAAUGUGAGACGGUCGUCUCGUGAAAGCACCACUAUUUCUCAGAUCAUUGUGGCUGAUGGAGUUUCAGAAGACCACAUCCGCAGAGCCUUCCGGGAGAGCUUAAAUCGCAGAGCUCGGGUUCGUGUUGAAGUUAGGGUUGCAAAAUAGUUAGAGCUAUUCAUAAUAAGAAAACAGUAAUUUAAACAAUAACGAUCACACUUUCUUAACAAGUAAAAAAAUACAAGUAAGCUUAUAUAUUACAGUAGUAUAUUACUGUAGCCUACAUUACAACUAUUGUUUAAAAUGAAUCUCUUGCCAUUCUGUUAUGCUUUGAUUCUUCUUUUACUCCUCUCUCAAUAAAUGACUGAUUUCAUGCAAACUAAGCAACAAA
Long non-coding RNA from Ctenopharyngodon idella (grass carp), 3215 nucleotides. RefSeq lists it as uncharacterized. Lineage: Eukaryota; Metazoa; Chordata; Actinopteri; Cypriniformes; Xenocyprididae. The transcript is spliced from 2 exons. The record is from RefSeq and is a predicted model, not a curated record.